CCAGCCCCGGGCGCGGUAGCCCUAGCCCGCCUUAGCUGUAGGGGUUCUCUGGAUAGAGGCCUCAGUUUGGAGGUUAAAAGUACAGCUCAAAUGCCAGGGAUGGAGGUGAGCCUCCAAGGAAAUUGCACCUCUGAAGAGAAGUCGUAGUCUGAAGAGAAGCUUUAGCUUCCAGCUCCUUUCAGACAUCUUCUGAACGGCUGUUUGGAGGAAAAGCUGGUAGUGCUGGAUCAGUCAACAGACAAAUAGGACAAAGCUGACUUAGAGGUCCUCAGAGCAUUGGCACUGGCAAGAUCAGAGAGAUGGGGAAUUACUUGUGCUGAAGCAAUUCCAGACCCUCUUGAGCAAGGAAUCUAAAAUUCGUCUGAAAAUAAUGAAAACUCUGUGUCUCUGGAAGAUUUAACCCAAAUGAGGAGAUAAGUAUGACUUACAGAAAGCAUACACUAAUGGACUAGACUCAGAAGAAGGCAGUCGGCAAAGUGAAAGAUUCUCCCUCCCCUCACAAUGGUGCACAAAGGAGAGAGUCUGGCUACCAUGCUUCUGACUGCAAGGCACCAGCCAUCUUGGAUUAUGAAGUCAAGUUCAUACAUGAUGGACCAACAAGAUAGAAGAGCCUGGGUCCCUGAUGCUUUGGAAUGCCAUGGCAGCCCUCACCACCUACCUAGACUUUUUGUGUGGUCCCUGGUUAAGUCACUGUUAUUUUGAGGUUUUGGUUAGUUAUAACUGAACUGAGUCUUAAUUAAUGAAAGUAUAUUUCCAACAAAGUGAAUAAUACAAUCAAAUGCUAAGAAAUGAGACUAGUUCAGCUGAUAAAUGAGAAGUUCAGCUGGUAGAAAUAAAGCCGUUGUGCUAGAAAAUAGAAGAAAAUAAGACUAAAUUAUAUGGUAGUCUAGAUUGUGACAAAAGAAGCACCAAUGGGCCAGCUGAGUAAUUUGUAAUUUAUCUUGCAUAUAAACUAGAGCCAAUGGAGUAUUUUUUAAAAGAAAUAGGCCAUAGUGAAUGUAAUGUUUGAGAAUGAAAUUAUAACCAAAUGGAUAUAUGAGGUAAAGGAAAGUGAAGAAUUGAAAAUGGUAUGCUGGUAUCCUUGAGAAAUGGAGUCCUGAGGAAGAAGGGACAUAUUUAGGAUUGAGUUAGUUCUGAAGAUAUUGCAUUUGAGAUGAUAAGAACAUGAAGUGAACAUGGUUUAUGGGUAACUGAAGAUUCAGAACUAGAGCUUGAGGUGUCAGUUCUUUAUUUAGAGGAACAGUGCUAAUAGCUGAAACAAAAAGAAUAUAGAGAGAAUUGCCAUGCCCAAGGCCUGAGCUUUGAGAAAUACUCCCAUAAAAAGCAUAAAAGGUAGAAGGUAUCAUGAAAGAUCAGAGAGAUAGAAGAGCCAGAAUAAAAGGAAGGGGGAUGUAUGGACAAGGAGUGAGUUUCAUGACAUGAAGGAUGUCAUCAAAUCCAGCAGAAAAACUGAAAAGAAUGAGGACAAAGAUAGUGGACAAAGAUAGUGGGUUUAGGUGUAGCAAAGGGAGUAAUUGUGAUCUCAAAGGCUGAAUCUCAGAAAUAGCCUGGGAAAACUAAAGAUUUGCAGUUCCACAAGGAAGGAAUUUUUGAGUCUUCAAGAAAAGAAAUCCUAGCAGGCUGUAGUGUAUAGAAGGAGAGACUAAAGUAUAAUUGGGGCUUUUGCUAGUUGGUCCCAAGCUUAUUUAUGUGGUUAAUGAGAUCAUUUACUCACAGUGAGGGUGGAGUGUGGAGGAGAUUGAAGAAAAAUCUGAAUGAUACCCAUCAGAGAAGAGAAUAACCUAGGGAGUCCAUGUAAUACAAAUAGUAGUGUUGUCUAACAGCAGUGAGGGAUAUAUUGAAGAUGGUCUGAGAGAACUUUUAUUUAUUUAUUUUUACCAAGUCAAUAUAUCAAUUGAGAAUGCUUUUGGCUACAAAUAACAGAACAUUUAAAGUAAUAGCUUAAACUAUAGUCUACAGCAGAGUAUGGCAAAGUAGGGCCUAUAGGCCAAAUCUGGCCUGUUUAUGUAAAUAAAAUUUUAAUGGAACACAGCCAUGCCAUUUGUUUACAUAUUGUCUGUGGCUGCUAGAGCACUAUAAUGGCAGAAUUGAGUAAUUGGGACAUAGACUGGAUGGCCUGUAAAGCCUAAAUUAUUUACUGUCUUUUCCUUUACAGAAGACAUUUGCCACCGCUGGUCUAGACUAGAGGAACAUUUAGUGCCUACUCAACCAGAAGUCUAAAGAUAGACAGAUUCAAGGUUGAUUCACUGGUUCAAUAAUAUAAGGAAAUUAUUAUCCCUGCAUAUCUCUUCCUUAUUUCUUAUUGUUGCAAGAUGGCUGCCACAGCUCCAACCAUCAUUCUACAGUGUUUAAUGCAGGAAGAAAAGGCAAGAGAUAUGUGGCAGAUGGCCAUUUUCUCCUAAAGUGAUUUUUUUCCUUUUAUUAAGGAGCAAAAACUUCUAAGAAGUGCCCAUCAGUGCCCUUAACUUUUCAUUGGCCCAAACCAUGAGACACUGAGAAAUAUUACUGCAUAGAAUACACAAGUGAUGAUAGUUCUCUUUCCCUAAGAUCCAGUAGGUCAUAUUUCCAGUGUUUAACGGGUGAGGAGAGGAAAAGGAACACACAGAGGAGAUAUAGGAAGAGUAGUCCUUCAGCUACAAGAAGAAGUAGAAGUGAGAAUUGUUGAGGAAGACAAGGAAGUGGAGAGUUAAAAGAAAGAGGAGCAACCAAGCAGAGAUUCUAUAAGAUAAGGACAAAAAAUGCCCACAAUAUUUGGCAAUUGAGUGGCCGCUGCUGACUUUAGUCUUUGCCGCAGUCUUUUAGACUUUGAGAGCAGAAGUCAGACUGAAGUUGAAAGUAAGGAAGUCAAACAGUGUAAGAAAGGGGAAAAAAAAGACUGAAUAAAUAUUAACCAGAAGAAAGAUAUGGGUUAAAGAAAGGGAAUUUUAGGUUGAGAAAUGACCUGAAUAUUUUUAAAGGACAAGGAGAAAGAGCCAUUGAGAUGAGAGAGUUGAGGAUGCAAAGAAGAGACUGACUGCUGGAGUGAGAUUCCAAAGGAGACGAGAUGAGGUCAGAGGUGCAGAAGAUAAGAUUAGCCUGGGGCAGGAGGGAUGCUUAAUCUCUGGGGUUGGAGGAAAACAGGUGAAGCGAUGUGUAGAAAGAAACAAAAGUACCAGUUUGGGUGCUUUCAUAUGCUAGUAACUGAAUACUAAUGAGAGGUAUCUUUAGCAGGAAUUUUUAAAUCAUACACAAGAAAUCCAGAGGUAGUUACAGCGUUGAUUAAUUCAGCCACUAAAUGUGGAAAGUUCUGGAAUGGCUUCUCUAUGAUUCUCUUAGCUUUCUCCUCUUAGUUGCAAGAUGCGUGCCACAGAUUCAAGCCCCAUGUCCUCUCAUAACAAUGUUCAAAGGUGGGCCGGGGUAAGAAUUCUUAUCUUUCCCUGUCUGUCUUUUUUUUCUUUUGUUCUUUUUAUUUUAAUGUUUCAAACCUAUUAAAAAUUUGCAAUAAUAAUGCGAGGAACUCCCAUAUGCUCUUCAUCUAGAUUCAGCAAUUGUUUACAUUUUGCAUCAUUUGCUUUAUAAUUCUGUGUGUGUAUAAUUUUUUUCUGAAUCAUAUCUAAGCAUGUUGCCAGCCCGAUGCUUUUUUUCACUCCCAUAUACUUCUAUGUAUUUCCUAAAAACAAGGAUAUUCUCUUACAGUCAUAGUAUAAUAUCAAAAUGUGGAAAAUUAACAUUGAUACAAUAUAAUUAUUUAAUCCACAAUCCAUAUUCAAAUUUCUCCUUGGUUGUACCACUAAUGUCCUAUAUAGCUACCUUUUCCCCUUGUCCAGGAUCCAGGCUGGACUCACUUGUAUUAAGUUGCCAUGUAUUUAGGCUCCUUUGGAAUAGUUCCUUAGGUUACUUAGCUUCUUUGUCUUUCUUGUUUUAACAUGUUUGAAGAGCACAGGCCAGUAAUUUUGUAGACUGUCCCUCAAUUUGGAUCUUCCUGAUAUUUCCUCAUGAAUAGAUUUAGGUCGCGCAGUUUGUGCAGGAAUAACAGUGUGGUGUGGUAUCCUUCACCAUGCAUGAUAUCAGGCUUCACAUGAUAUCUAUUUGUCCCAAUAUUGGUGAUAUUAACCUUGAUUACUUAACAGUUUUCACCACUGUUAAAUUAUUUUUUCCCUUGGUAGUUCGUAAGCAAUUUGUGGUGAGACACUUUGACAGUAUGUAAAUAUCCUAUACUUCAUCAACCUUUCACCCAUUAGUGUUAUUAUCCAUUGAUGAUUUUUAAAUUCCGUCAUUCCUUCUACAUUUAUUAGUUGGCAUUCUCCUGUAGGGAAGAACUCUCCCUUCACUUAUAUUCAUUUAUUUAUUUAUAUCAGUAUAGCCUUAUGGAUUCUUAUUUUAGUCAAUGAGAUAUAAUCCAUUAUUAUCAUUAUUUAUUUUAAUGCUUAAAGCAUCUCAGAUUUGGCCAAUGGCAGUCCCUACAGUCUGGCUUCUGUGUUCUUUUAACACGUCCUCAUUAUUUUUGGAGCAGUUCCUUGUUUUUUGGCACAAGAUAUUUGGGGCUUAUCUUGUUCUUUCCCUGACCCAGCCAGUCUUCAAAUCAGCUAUUACUCUACAGAGCUCCAUUUUAGUGGAGCAUGAAAUUUAGACAUGAAGGUUGGGACACUAAGUGCCACUCUUCUUCUGGGGUGUCAUUGCCUCUAGGCCCUGUCAGUAACAGAGCUAACAAAUAAGUCCUCCCCACCCCAUUUACAUAUAUAUACACACAUCUAUUUUUGUAUCAUCUGUAGAUAGAUAUAAAGCCAUGAGUUUUUACUGAUAACUCCAAUUUCAGUCCAUCAAUAAAGAGUUCAUUGUAUUCUGCUGUCUUUCCGUAAUUAUUACUCACUUUUCUAAACCUGUCUCCCAUUUGCCUCCACUUAUUUAGUCAUUUGCUCAAGCCUAGAAUACACAGGCAUUAUUUUCAGAUUUCCUAAUCCAUACAACUGUAAUAGAAAACCUACUAACUAGAGUUUGACAUUUGUUUACAGUUCUUUUUUGAGAUAAGAUUACAUACAGUGAAAUGCACAGAUGAUAUGUUUAAAUUUGAUAAAUUUUAAUAAAUGCUUAUACCCAUUUAAUAACCACCUUAAUCAAGACAUAGAAUAUUUCUAUUAACCCACAAAGUUUCUUCAUUCUCCCAAUCAGUUCCCACCCCACUCCCUGUAAGCAACCACUGUUCUGAUUUUUAUCUCAAUAGAUUUUGCCUGUUCUUGAACUUAAUGUACAUGGAAUCCUAUUAUUAUGUUCUCUAUUGUGUCUGCUGUUUUCCCUCAACAUGAUGUUUUGCAGAUUUAUCCAUAUCCUGGGUGUAUCAGUAUUGCAUUCCUAUUUAUUGCUGAGUAGUAUUGAUUGUGUGAAUAGACCACAGUUUAUUUGUUCAUUUACUUUUUGAUGGACAGUCAAGUUUUUUCCAGUUUUUGGCAAUUAGGA
Long non-coding RNA from Equus caballus (horse), 5433 nucleotides. RefSeq lists it as uncharacterized. The record is from RefSeq and is a predicted model, not a curated record. Lineage: Eukaryota; Metazoa; Chordata; Mammalia; Perissodactyla; Equidae.